Molecule: ribosomal RNA, 502 nt
Filed under: uncultured bacterium
Lineage: Bacteria
Description: partial 16S ribosomal RNA
Rfam family: Bacterial small subunit ribosomal RNA
Source: RNAcentral
GACGAACGCUGGCGGCGUGCUUAACACAUGCAAGUCGAACGGUGAAGCGCUUUCCUUUUUGGUUGGUGUGGAUGAGUGGCGAACGGGUGAGUAACACGUGAGUAACCUGCCCCCUUCUUCUGGAUAACCGCAUGAAAGUGUGGCUAAUACGGGAUAUUCUGCGCCUGCUGCAUGGUGGGUGUGGGAAAGAUUGUGCCUUUGGGUGUUUUCGGUGGGGGAUGGGCUCGCGGCCUAUCAGCUUGUUGGUGGGGUGAUGGCCUACCAAGGCGGUGACGGGUAGCCGGGCUGAGAGGGUGGACGGUCGCACUGGGACUGAGACACGGCCCAGACUCCUACGGGAGGCAGCAGUGGGGAAUAUUGCACAAUGGGCGCAAGCCUGAUGCAGCGACGCCGCGUGAGGGAUGGAGGCCUUCGGGUUGUGAACCUCUUUCGCCAGUGAAGCAGGCCUGCUCCUUGUGGGUGGGUUGACGGUAGCUGGAUAAGAAGCGCCGGCUAACUACGU